Hibiscus syriacus is the source of this 1869-nucleotide long non-coding RNA. RefSeq lists it as uncharacterized. Lineage: Eukaryota; Viridiplantae; Streptophyta; Magnoliopsida; Malvales; Malvaceae. The record is from RefSeq and is a predicted model, not a curated record. The transcript is spliced from 5 exons.
UACAUAUUCCAUCAUCUUGGAGGCCAUUACUGGAGGAUUCUUCAACACUUCGGAUAUUUUUUUGAUUACUAUUCAAUUACUAAACCUCCUCUUUUAAAGGAGGCUCUGGAAUGCUUGGUAAGAUUAGCAUCCGUUAGACGUUCUUUAUUUGUAAAUGAUGCUGCCCGGUCCAAGUUUUUGGUUCAUUUAAUGACAGGAACGAAAGAAAUUCUCCAAUCAGGACAAGGUCUUGCUGAUCAUGAUAAUUACCAUGAAUACUGUCGACUUCUUGGACGUUUUAGGGUGAAUUAUCAGUUGUCAGAGUUAGUGAAUGUGCAAGGCUACAGUGAUUGGAUACGUUUGGUGGCUGAAUUCACUUUGAAGUCUUUGCAGUCCUGGCAGAUUGAUUGAUAUUUGAAAUUUUAUGUAUUCAGGAAAAUAACUUAUGAUCUUAUAUGGCUUAAUGUGGGCUCCAACUGGCUGUAAAUUAUUUUUCUCUGACCUUGACCCAUUACAUGUGAACUAUUUGUUGGAGAACCUGGAACCAUUUAUUUAUUUUUCUCAAUACCUUCUGCAACAUGAUCUUAAUUGAGUUUAUGCUUUUGUACCUAUUGGGGCUAUGGUCCAGAUUGGUUUCGUCUGUUCCCUAUUUGAAGGACGAUGCUCCAAGUUUGUUGGAUGAAUUCGUUCCUAAGAUCACCGAGAGUUUUCUCACAUCAAGAUUCAACUCUGUGCAGGCCCAAUUUACAAUCAACCCGAACUGGCCCAGCAUACCUUAACCCAUCAGGCCUUGCAAAACAGCCCUCACCCAGAGCCCCAAUCACUCAAGCCCAAGUGGAGACCCAGCUCAGCAAACCCAGCAAUCUCCAAACUCGAACUGGCCCAGCAACCCCGGAUUCAACUCGAGACCCGAAUUGGCCCAAAAUAGCAACCCAAAUAAUUAGGGUUUCAAAACCCUAAAGCAGCAGCCGCCUUCCAUAUUCUAGCUUCCUCAAUCGGCGAGUGCACAUCACCGCUCCAUUCCCGAGUCGCGUGAGCCGGCCGCCGAAUGUUUCCUGCCCAACGUUAUCACCUACAGUGAUUGAAAGUACACCAUCAGUCCUUCCACAGUGAAAAACAGAGAAAAUGGCAUAAAAAAUCCAAGAAAUCCCAAUGUAAUCUGUUAUUGUCAAGCAGAAAUCUAGGGCAAUAAAACCCUAUAUUCUCGGGACCACAAAACCUCACAGAAACCACACAUGCAUCAAAGAUAAAAAAAAAGACGGAGAGAACCAUUCGGGUUUCCAGUGAAAAAGAAGAGAAAAAGAAACCGAACGAAAAAUCCAAUAAAAGAAAAAGAGAAAAGCCAGAAAUCUUACCCUUUCAUCUGAUCGGAGCCUCAUCGGAGUACAGAAAAUUUACCAUCGAAGGUAAAACCUUCUCGUUCUUAGGCUUGUGGGUUUUAGGAGAGUUUGUGUUUUGGGGUAUUAGUUGUUUUUUUAGAAAGGGAGAGUGAGGGGUGAGAUCAAGAGUGGUUUAAGGUUUUGAUUUUGAGGCUAUCGCCGUCGCCUGGCUAUUUCUGGGUUUCUUCUCGGCGGAGGAAGGAAGAGGCGAUGAGAGUUGAGAGAAUAUUUUCUCUCUCUCUCUCUCAUCGGGCUUAAGGAAACAUAACAAAUGGGAAGCUCAGCCGUUUAGGGUGUGAGUUUUAACAUAUAUCUGAAAUGUAAAACGACGUCGCAUAUAGGGAAGGGAUUCAGCGUGUUUUCGAGUUGGGUCUAAUAUCUGGUUUAGUCCUUGUUAUUUUGUAAUCUCUUACCCGUUUUUUUUCACAUUUUUGGAGUAAAUCACAGUUUAGGUCCUUCUAAUUCUGUAAUGGUUGUAAUCUGAUCAUUCUAAUGAAAUUUUAUAUUUUCA